Molecule: ribosomal RNA, 225 nt
Filed under: uncultured bacterium
Lineage: Bacteria
Description: partial 16S ribosomal RNA
Rfam family: Bacterial small subunit ribosomal RNA
Source: RNAcentral
CGGGGUGAGUAAUGAAUAGGAAUCUGCCUAGUAGUGGGGGGACAACCUGGUGAAAACCAGGCUAAUACCGCAUACGCCCUACGGGGGAAAGGGGGGCUUCGGCUCUCGCUAUUAGAUGAGCCUAUUUCUGAUUAGCUUGUUGGUGAGGUAAUGGCUCACCAAGGCAACGAUCAGUAGCUGGUCUGAGAGGAUGAUCAGCCACACUGGGACUGAGACACGGCCCAG